CCCUUAGAUGUUCUGGGCCGCACGCGCGCUACACUGACGAAUGCAACGAGCUUAUAACCUUGUCCGAAAGGUCUGGGUAAUCUCCAAAUUUCGUCGUGAUGGGGAUAGAUUAUUGCAAUUAUUAAUCUUCAACGAGGAAUGCCUAGUAAGCGCAAGUCAUCAGCUUGCGUUGAUUACGUCCCUGCCCUUUGUACACACCGCCCGUCGCUCCUACCGAUUGAAUGGUCCGGUGAAGCGUUCGGACCGUGGCCUUUGGACGGUUCGCCGUCUGUUGGCUGCGGGAAGUUCGUUAAACCUUAUCGUUUAGAGGAAGGAGAAGUCGUAACA
RNAcentral lists this ribosomal RNA (327 nucleotides) under uncultured eukaryote. RNAcentral describes it as "partial 18S ribosomal RNA". It matches the Rfam family "Eukaryotic small subunit ribosomal RNA", at positions 1470 to 1796 of the family's 1831-position model. The record is from RNAcentral.